Molecule: transfer RNA, 72 nt
Filed under: Ovis aries (sheep)
Lineage: Eukaryota; Metazoa; Chordata; Mammalia; Artiodactyla; Bovidae
Rfam family: tRNA
About the family: Transfer RNA (tRNA) molecules are approximately 80 nucleotides in length. Their secondary structure includes four short double-helical elements and three loops (D, anti-codon, and T loops).
Source: Rfam by way of RNAcentral
UCCCUUUUAGCUCAGUUGGUAAAGAAUCUGUCUACAAUACAGGAGACCUGGGUUCAAUUCCUGGGUCAGGAA